RNAcentral lists this ribosomal RNA (484 nucleotides) under uncultured bacterium. RNAcentral describes it as "partial 16S ribosomal RNA". It matches the Rfam family "Bacterial small subunit ribosomal RNA", at positions 30 to 507 of the family's 1533-position model. The record is from RNAcentral.
AUUGAACGCUGGCGGCAGGCCUAACACAUGCAAGUCGAGCGGAUGAAGGGAGCUUGCUCCUGGAUUCAGCGGCGGACGGGUGAGUAAUGCCUAGGAAUCUGCCUGGUAGUGGGGGAUAACGUCCGGAAACGGGCGCUAAUACCGCAUACGUCCUGAGGGAGAAAGUGGGGGAUCUUCGGACCUCACGCUAUCAGAUGAGCCUAGGUCGGAUUAGCUAGUUGGUGGGGUAAAGGCCUACCAAGGCGACGAUCCGUAACUGGUCUGAGAGGGUGAUCAGUCACACUGGAACUGAGACACGGUCCAGACUCCUACGGGAGGCAGCAGUGGGGAAUAUUGGACAAUGGGCGAAAGCCUGAUCCAGCCAUGCCGCGUGUGUGAAGAAGGUCUUCGGAUUGUAAAGCACUGUAAGUUGGGAGGAAGGGCAGUAAGUUAAUACGUUGCUGUUUUGACGUUACCAACAGAAUAAGCACCGGCUAACUUCGUG